CAGGCAGGCAUGGUGCAGGAGAGGCUAAGAGUUCUACAUCUUCAUCUGAAGUGCCACUCUCUGGGCCCAGCAUAUACAAACGAUCACAUUCACCAACUUGGACUUGCAUGGAACUGGGUCUGUCAGUGCCCUAUCUGGGAGGAGAAGUCUGUUCACGUCUACCCACAAAAAGCCACACAAGAGAAGCACAGUAACCGGAAUGUUUCUGCAGAUGGAAAUGUGUGGAGUCCUGCCACUCUCUCUACAGCAUCAGUUCCAAGGGUUGAGCUCUGGCCAUUUGGGUUGGCUGCAAGCACCUUUACCUGCUGAGCCAUUUUUUAUGAACCCUGCCUCGGGUUUUUGUUUAAAAUACUUAAUUUCUUUUAAAGAUUUAUUGUAUGUG
Molecule: long non-coding RNA, 382 nt
Organism: Mastomys coucha (southern multimammate mouse)
Lineage: Eukaryota; Metazoa; Chordata; Mammalia; Rodentia; Muridae
Exons: 2
Source: RefSeq, a predicted model, not a curated record